UGGGGAAUCUUGCGCAAUGGUCGCAAGGCUGACGCAGCGACGCCGCGUGGAGGACGAAGGCCUUCGGGUUGUAAACUCCUUUUCUGGGGGACGAAUAAGGUCAGCAGGCAAUGGUUGACCGAUGACGGUACCCCAGGAACAAGCGCCGGCUAACUUCGUGCCAGCAGCCGCGGUAAGACGAAGGGCGCAAGCGUUAUCCGGAAUCACUGGGCGUAAAGGGCGUCUAGGCGGUCAAUCAAGUCGACGUUGAAAGCCCUUGGCUAAACUGAGGGAGGUACGUCGAAACUGAUUGGCUCGAGGAACGUAGAGGAAGGCGGAACUCUCGGAGUAGCGGUGAAAUGCGUAGAGACCGAGAGGUACCCCGAUGGUGAAGACAGCCUUCUGGGCGUUUCCUGACGCUGAAGCGCUAAGGCCAGGGGAGCGAAGG
This 427-nucleotide ribosomal RNA is filed under the name uncultured bacterium. RNAcentral's name for it is "bacterial SSU rRNA". It matches the Rfam family "Bacterial small subunit ribosomal RNA", at positions 355 to 774 of the family's 1533-position model. The record is from RNAcentral.